This 305-nucleotide ribosomal RNA is filed under the name uncultured bacterium. RNAcentral describes it as "bacterial SSU rRNA". It matches the Rfam family "Bacterial small subunit ribosomal RNA", at positions 336 to 655 of the family's 1533-position model. The record is from RNAcentral.
UUCCUACGGGACGCAGCAGUGGGGAAUAUUGCACAAUGGGGGAAACCCUGAUGCAGCAACGCCGCGUGAAGGAAGACGGUUUUCGGAUUGUAAACUUCUAUCAAUAGGGAAGAAAGAAAUGACGGUACCUAAAUAAGAAGCCCCGGCUAACUACGUGCCAGCAGCCGCGGUAAUACGUAGGGGGCAAGCGUUAUCCGGAAUUACUGAGUGUAGAGGGAGAGUAGGCGGCAAGGUAAGCGAUAUGUGAAAGCCUUAAGCUUAACUUAAGGAUUGCAUAACGAACUAUCUAGCUAGAGUACAGGAGA